GCCUGGGUGGCUCAGUCAGUUAAGCAUCUGCCUUUGGCUCAGGUCAUGUGGGAUCGAGCCCCACGUCAGGCU
Molecule: transfer RNA, 72 nt
Filed under: Ailuropoda melanoleuca (giant panda)
Lineage: Eukaryota; Metazoa; Chordata; Mammalia; Carnivora; Ursidae
Rfam family: tRNA
About the family: Transfer RNA (tRNA) molecules are approximately 80 nucleotides in length.
Source: Rfam by way of RNAcentral